UCCGCGGUAGCUCAGCGGUAGAGCAGUUGACUGUUAAUCAAUUGGUCGCAGGUUCGAAUCCUGCCCGCGGAGCCU
Molecule: transfer RNA, 75 nt
Filed under: Candidatus Kaiserbacteria bacterium CG10_big_fil_rev_8_21_14_0_10_47_16
Lineage: Bacteria; Candidatus Kaiseribacteriota
Description: tRNA-Asn
Rfam family: tRNA
About the family: Transfer RNA (tRNA) molecules are approximately 80 nucleotides in length. Their secondary structure includes four short double-helical elements and three loops (D, anti-codon, and T loops).
Source: RNAcentral